UACGUAGGGUGCGAGCGUUGUCCGGAAUUAUUGGGCGUAAAGAGCUCGUAGGCGGUUUGUCGCGUCGGGAGUGAAAUCCACUGGCUUAACUGGUGGCUUGCUUUCGAUACGGGCAGACUGGAGGUAUGCAGGGGAGAACGGAAUUCCUGGUGUAGCGGUGAAAUGCGCAGAUAUCAGGAGGAACACCGGUGGUGAAGACGGUCUCCUGGGCCGAGAGCCGACGCUGAGGCGCGAGAGCGUGGGGAGCGAACCGG
Molecule: ribosomal RNA, 254 nt
Filed under: uncultured bacterium
Lineage: Bacteria
Description: partial 16S ribosomal RNA
Rfam family: Bacterial small subunit ribosomal RNA
Source: RNAcentral